RNAcentral lists this ribosomal RNA (765 nucleotides) under Plagiostoma aesculi. RNAcentral's name for it is "SSU rRNA". It matches the Rfam family "Eukaryotic small subunit ribosomal RNA", at positions 605 to 1377 of the family's 1831-position model. The record is from RNAcentral. Lineage: Eukaryota; Fungi; Ascomycota; Sordariomycetes; Diaporthales; Gnomoniaceae.
UUAAGUUGUUGCAGUUAAAAGCUCGUAGUUGAACCUUGGGCCUGGUUGGCCGGUCUGCCUCACCGCAUGCACUGGUCCGACCGGGUCUUUCCCUCUGUGGAUCCGCAUGCUAUUCAUUUAGUGUGUCGGGGAAACAGGACAUUUACUGUGAAAAAAUUAGAGUGUUCAAAGCAGGCAUAUGCUCGAAUACAUUAGCAUGGAAUAAUAGAAUAGGACGUGUGGUUCUAUUUUGUUGGUUUCUAGGACCGCCGUAAUGAUUAAUAGGGACAGUCGGGGGCAUCAGUAUUCAAUCGUCAGAGGUGAAAUUCUUGGAUCGAUUGAAGACUAACUACUGCGAAAGCNUUUGCCAAGGAUGUUUUCAUUAAUCAGGAACGAAAGUUAGGGGAUCGAAAACGAUCAGAUACCGUUGUAGUCUUAACCAUAAACUAUGCCGACUAGGGAUCGGACGAUGUUAUUUUUUGACUCGUUCGGCACCUUACACGAAAGUAAAGUUUUUGGGUUCUGGGGGGAGUAUGGUCGCAAGGCUGAAACUUAAAGAAAUUGACGGAAGGGCACCACAAGGGGUGGAGCCUGCGGCUUAAUUUGACUCAACACGGGGAAACUCACCAGGUCCAGACACAACUAGGAUUGACAGAUUGAGAGCUCUUUCUUGAUUUUGUGGGUGGUGGUGCAUGGCCGUUCUUAGUUGGUGGAGUGAUUUGUCUGCUUAAUUGCGAUAACGAACGAGACCUUAACCUGCUAAAUAGNCCGUUCCNCUUAGGCGGA